RNAcentral lists this ribosomal RNA (254 nucleotides) under uncultured bacterium. RNAcentral describes it as "partial 16S ribosomal RNA". It matches the Rfam family "Bacterial small subunit ribosomal RNA", at positions 524 to 776 of the family's 1533-position model. The record is from RNAcentral.
GACGGAGGGUGCGGGCGUAUUCGUUUUGAUUGGGUGUAAAGGGUACGUAGGCCGUCUCUAGUUUUUUGGCAAAAAGCUGCGGAGGGUUCCUACGCGAUUGCCUUUUAAAACAGAAUUCUUGUGUUAAAGAGAGGUAGGGACAAGUUCUUAUGUAGGGGUAAAAUCCGUGCCAUAUGAGAACGAACGUCAGCAGGCGGAGGCGCCUUUCCAGUUUUAACAGACGCUAAGGUACGGAAGCCUAGGGAGCAAACGGG